GAUGAACGCUGGCGGCGUGCCUAAUACAUGCAAGUCGAGCGAACAGACGAGGAGCUUGCUCCUCUGACGUUAGCGGCGGACGGGUGAGUAACACGUGGAUAACCUACCUAUAAGACUGGGAUAACUUCGGGAAACCGGAGCUACUACCGGAUAAUAUAUUGAACCGCAUGGUUCAAUAGUGAAAGACGGUUUUGCUGUCACUUAUAGAUGGAUCCGCGCCGCAUUAGCUAGUUGGUAAGGUAACGGCUUACCAACGCAACGAUGCGUAGCCGACCUGAGCGGGUGAUCGGCCACACUGGAAGUGAGACACGGCCCAGACUCCGACGGGAGGCAGCAGUAGGGAAUCUUCCGCGAUGGGCGAAAGCCUGACGGAGCAACGCCGCGUGAGUGAUGAAGGUCUUCGGAUCGGAGAACUCUGUUAUUAGGAAAGAACAAAUGUGUAAGUAACUAUGCACGUCUUGACGGUACCUAAUCAGAAAGCCACGGCUAACUACGUG
This 497-nucleotide ribosomal RNA is filed under the name uncultured bacterium. RNAcentral describes it as "partial 16S ribosomal RNA". It matches the Rfam family "Bacterial small subunit ribosomal RNA", at positions 28 to 507 of the family's 1533-position model. The record is from RNAcentral.